Molecule: long non-coding RNA, 506 nt
Organism: Salarias fasciatus (jewelled blenny)
Lineage: Eukaryota; Metazoa; Chordata; Actinopteri; Blenniiformes; Blenniidae
Exons: 3
Source: RefSeq, a predicted model, not a curated record
UUUUCUUUUUUUUUUUUUAAUAUUCAGGGAGCAGAUCUUGCAGUUCAGCUGAACCCACAGUUCAGAGAAGCUCAAUAUCAACAUUCAACUAACGUGUGAGUGUUUGACGUACAGCAGCAGAAUAUUGCAAAGUGUUUCACAUUUGCUUCACGGCUCCUUUCAAAUGCUUUGCCAGCUCUGUGAAUCAACAUGGAAUCGGUACCCAAUAAAACACUAAAAGCCUGUGCUUAGACAUCCGUCACCCCAUAAACUACCGGCCGGUAAUCGAUCUCUGCAUAGACGUCUCAGUGAAUUCACUGCUGGGUACCUUUUAUUGUGAAGUGGAUUUGCUGGUGGGUCCCUCGGAAGGUGAGAGAUGAUAUAUCCUUAGAGGCUGCGGUGCUCCCGGUAAAGCAAUGCAACAUAAUUUUCAUUUGACUUUGUCUCCACUGUGUCAAAUAUUGUGCAGCUCAAACCUGCAGGUGCAAACAGGACGAUGAGUCUAUUUAUCAGUUCAGUAUAUCAGU